UAGUCAUAUGCUUGUCUCAAAGAUUAAGCCAUGCAUGUCUAAGUAUAAGCAAAUUAUAAAGUGAAACUGCGAANNGCUCAUUAAAUCAGUUAUCGUUUAUUUGAUGAUCUCUUACUACAUGGAUAACCGUGGUAAUUCUAGAGCUAAUACAUGCGCAAAGUCCCGACCUCUGGAAGGGAUGUAUUUAUUAGAUAAAAAACCAAUGCCUUCGGGCUUCUUGGUGAUUCAUAGUAACUUAACGAAUCGCAUAGCCUUGCGCUGGCGAUAGUUCAUUCAAAUUUCUGCCCUAUCAACUUUCGAUGGUAGGAUAUGGGCCUACCAUGGUUUCAACGGGUAACGGGGAAUUAGGGUUCUAUUCCGGAGAGGGAGCCUGAGAAACGGCUACCACAUCCAAGGAAGGCAGCAGGCGCGCAAAUUACCCAAUCCCGACACGGGGAGGUAGUGACAAUAAAUACUGAUACNGGGGGCUUCUGCUUCUUGUAAUUGGAAUGAGUACAAUUUAAAUCUCUUAACGAGGAACAAUUG
RNAcentral lists this ribosomal RNA (525 nucleotides) under uncultured eukaryote. Its description in RNAcentral is "SSU rRNA". It matches the Rfam family "Eukaryotic small subunit ribosomal RNA", at positions 21 to 550 of the family's 1831-position model. The record is from RNAcentral.